AUUGAACGCUGGCGGCAUGCCUUACACAUGCAAGUCGAACGGCAGCACGGGAGCAAUCCUGGUGGCGAGUGGCGAACGGGUGAGUAAUACAUCGGAACGUGCCCAGUAGUGGGGGAUAACCCGGCGAAAGCCGGACUAAUACCGCAUACGACCUACGGGUGAAAGCAGGGGAUCGCAAGACCUUGCGCUAUCGGAGCGGCCGAUGUCAGAUUAGCUUGNGGCGGGGUAAAGGCCCACCAAGGCGACGAUCUGUAGCUGGUCUGAGAGGACGACCAGCCACACUGGGACUGAGACACGGCCCAGACUCCUACGGAGGCAGCAGUGGGGAAUUUUGGACAAUGGCGCAAGCCUGAUCCAGCCAUGCCGCGUGCGGGAAGAAGGCCUCGGUUGUAACGUAC
RNAcentral lists this ribosomal RNA (398 nucleotides) under uncultured bacterium. RNAcentral's name for it is "bacterial SSU rRNA". It matches the Rfam family "Bacterial small subunit ribosomal RNA", at positions 29 to 433 of the family's 1533-position model. The record is from RNAcentral.